Molecule: long non-coding RNA, 5369 nt
Organism: Ahaetulla prasina
Lineage: Eukaryota; Metazoa; Chordata; Lepidosauria; Squamata; Colubridae
Exons: 4
Source: RefSeq, a predicted model, not a curated record
GCUCUACGGUUUGUGCCCCAGCCACAAAAUGGAGGACGACGACGGUGCUAGCAGCAGCAGCCGCGGCAGCCUCCGCCUCCUCCUCCUCCUCCUCAUCCCCCACUCCCUCCCCCAGACCAGGGAAAGAGAGCAGAGACGCGGCAGAGCGGGGAGCGCGCGCUAGGAAGUGGCGCGCGAGCGCACGGGCUCGCGCAUUGCGGGGCAGCCGAGGGGGAACGGUGCAACCUGUUGACUGAGAACGGCAACUGCAACCCCCGGCAGGGCCUCUUCCUCCCCCCCCCCCACCGCUUCUUCAAACGUGCCCCUUUCCGCUAACAGUUUCUUUUUUCCUUCUUGCCUCCCUUCCUUUCUUUUUUUCUUUUCGGUUUCUUAUCUUGUCCGCUGCAGCCUACGGUGGGUUUUUGGGAGGUUUGGUAUUUAUAAGCAGCAUCUUGAUUUAGGAAGCUCACUGCGUUUUAAAAAGGUAACUGCGAUGAGUGACAGGCAGCCUUCGCGAAUUUCAUUUAUGGGGAAAUCCUAAUCAACCUGGUGAACUAAUUUUUUAUUUUUUUAAAAAAAAUCAGGUCUGGGCUGUUCAAAGGGGGGUGAAAAAAAAAAAGCGAACGAGGGACGACGAAAACAGGCAACAAACCUUCCGAGAGGAUUGAAGGGCCAUCGCUGACCCGUUAAGCCGAAAUGACAGGAAAAGAUUUCGUUUGAAGACUACUUGCAAUUGUCUGCUUACCUGGUGGAGAGUAGAAUGUCUAAACUCCCAGCUCGCAGGCCAGAUGAGUCAUGGGUUGGCCACGCCCACACGACAGUUGGAACAGAGUUCUUUUCAGUUUGGUUUUGCAGCCCAACAAGACAGACACAGACUUCAGAGGAUAAUUAGAACUGCAGAAAAAACAAUUGCUACCAACCUGCCUUCCAUUGAGGACCUGUAUACUGCACGAGUCAAAAAGAGGGCUGUGAAAAUAUUUACAUCCUGGACAUAAACUAUUUACAUCCUGGACAUAAACUGUCGGGCUGUUCUCCAAAGCACCUGAGGGUAGAACAAGAAGCAAUGGGUGGAAACUGAUCAAAGAAAGAAGCAACUUAGAACUAAGGAGAAAUUUCCUGACAGUUAGAACAAUUAAUAAGUGGAACGACUUGCCUUCAGAAGUUGUGAAUGCUCCAACACUGGAAAUUUUUAAGAAAAUGUUGGAUAACCAUCUGACUGAGAUGGUGUAGGGUUUCCUGCCUGGGCAGGGGGUUGGACUAGAAGGCCUCCAAGGUCCCUUCCAACUCUGAUGUUAUGUUAUGUUAUGUUUCAACUUCUACCCGCAAAAUGACACUAUAGAGCACUGCACACCAGAACAACUGGAUGCAAGAACAGUUUUUUCAUGAACACCAUCACUCUGCUAAACAAAUAAUUCCCUCAACACUGUCAAACUAUUUAUUAAGUCUGCACUACUAUUAAUCUUCUCAUUGUUCCCAUCACCCAUCUCCUUCCAUUUAUGAUUGUAUGACUGUAACUUUGUUGCUUGUAUUUUUACAAUUUAUAUUGAUAUUGAUUGUUUCCUGAUUGCUUAUUUGUACCCUAUGACUAUCAUUAAGUGUUGUACCUUAUGAUUCUUGAUGAAUGUAUCUUUUAUAUACACCGAGAGCAUGUGGACCAAGACAAAUUCCUUGUGUAUCCAAUCACACUUGGCCAAUAAAAUUUUUAUCCUAUCCUAUCCUAUCCUAUCCUAUCCUAUCCUAUCCUAUCCUAUCCUAUCCGCAAAGCUCUAAAAUAGCAAACCAUCAUUCUGUUGGCAACGCAUGAUAGAUCUUGGAACACAAUUAGAAUGUCUUCAUGGUCUUCCUUGUUCUUGGUCUCAUCAACCAAAAAUCCAGCAAAAUUAUUUCAUUAAUUGAUUCCAUAACCUUCUGCAACUAUUUUACCCAUGAUGGGGAUUAUUUCAUUUUGGAGCUGAGGCUUACUGUAUUUCAUAUUUGCACUGGUCCUUAAAUUUGUUUUUAUUGUUUCUCAUAGAAAACUGAAGUACUGUAAUUGCAAGAACCACUUUCAUUUUCUUCUAAUUGCUCACAUCAUUAGUCAGUCCUGAAAGAUGAUUGACAAACAACUAAAAAUUGAAUUGCUUCAGCAAUAUGCUUUCUUUAGUAUAUUUUAUUUUCUAUAACUUCAUUGUACAUAUUUUUUCUGAAGGCUUUAUCCUUUGUAGUUUUAAAAAAAGGUUAAUUUUCACUUUUUUGUGCUGCAGAAAAUUAUCUGUUCUGUUUUAUGGACUUGUGACUUUGCAUGUAGGGUUCUCCCCUCUGCCCUUUGCCUUUUUUCAACUGCCUGUUUCCUGUCAGCUUAUCCUGUCGUUAAAAAUGCUGAGUCAGAGCUUACAACACGGCAUUUCCUCCAUACAAAACAAAAUGCAACAUCUCCACCAAGUGAAUACUCUGGCAUUCCUGUGGUUUGCAAACCAUAUCUCUGCAAAUGGUCAGACAACAACAUUUUUGAAUAUGAUUUAGAGGUACCUAAAUCAGAUGACAUGUAAAGAGGAAAAUACCUAUUUAUUAAUUUGUCCAUUUAUGCAGCCACCCAUCUCUGAGUUAUUUUUCAGUUGAGUUAUAUGUUCUCUUUCUAAAGCAGCUGAUAGAAGAUGGUUAGAUUCAGCAUUUUCAUCUCUUAAAGAAGUUACCACUUUUCCUUUGAUAGUAGUUAUUAGAUUAGAUUAGAUUAGAUUAGAAUUCUUUAUUGGCCAAGUGUGAUUGGACACACAAGGAAUUUGUCUUUGGUGCAUAUGUUCCCAGUGUAUGUAAAAAAGACAAGAUACAUUCGUCAAGAAUCAUAAGAUACAACACCUAAUGAUAGUCAUAGGGUACAAAUAAGCAAUCAAGUCAUACUAGGGAACAAUAUAAAUCAUAAGGAUACAAGCAACAAAGUUACAGUUAUGCAGUCAUAAGUGGGAGGAGAUGGGUGAAAGGAACGAUGGGAAGAUUAAUAGUAAUGAAGACUUAGUGAAUAGUUUGAUUAAAUUUAUUCUAACGAAGUGAAGAUUUACUUUAAAGUCACAAUAGAGGCAAUAAUAGAGCUGACUAAGGGUCUGCAUGUAAGAGCCAAAUUAAACAUUGAGUUUUUAAAGCUGCACCUGUGCCAGAAACUUCACAGUUUACCAAUCUUAUCAGAGUCAAGCACAAAAUCACGGGGUUUAAAGUGCAGAAGCCUGGACUGACUUUAUGAUCACUUCAAAAAUAGAUCUGAAAAGGUUGAUCUUUUUGUCUUUCUCAAGCAUUUCUCUCAGAAGUAUUACUGCGUCUAGCAAAAUUUAUGACCACCAGCUGCUCCUGAAUGUCUACAGUGGAGGCAAGAAGAGCAAAUGAUGGCAUAGGUUUAUUGUGCAGCAGAUCUCAUGGUACCAUCACAGCUGCCAUCAUGCAAAGAACGUAAUUGGGUCAUUUACACAAGGAUAUCAUGGGACCCAAGUUAUAUUGUCACCAUGUCUUGUUUCAGAGGCCUGUGAUAUUCAGGCUUCUUUCUUUCUGAGUCCUUUCCAGCAGCUAGGCAUGAUAACUUUGCCUAGCAUUUUUCUGCCCUAAUUAUUUGUUUAAAAAAGGAGAGCAAGGUGGAGAAAAUGUAGGGAUCUUUCACCUAUGUAGAGGUUUACAGAUUUGUACCUGCAGUUUCUGUGAUUGAAUGAAAAUUAUUAAGAGGAGAAUUUCCCUCACAACUGGAAAAAAAUUUUAAUUGCUGGAGGACCAUGAAAACUUUGGUUUUUGACAUACCUGUUUGAAAUAGCCACAGCAAAAAUAAAAAUUAAAUCCUUGGUAGAUGGAAGCCAUAUCAAGAAAAGAGCUAGUUUAUGCGUUAUUCAGUCACUUCUGCAAUACAAUUUUCUUUGAUAAGUAGAUUAUAAACUUUAAAAAAACUUCAGGCUUUAAAAGUGCCUGGUUUUAUCUUCUAUCCAAAGUACUGAACUAUUGGCAGCAUCAUUUGACUCCUUAAAGACAAAGUCCUUUAUUUGUGGCAAAGAAGCAAUGAAAAAAUAAUCUUUGUAUUAACAAAAAGCAUUUGUGCUAAGACUCCUCGUGGUGCUAUAAAACUCUGGAUGUCCAUUUAGCAGCAGAAAAUAUUUCUUUUGGUGGUUAGUGCUUUUUUCCCAAUCUUGAAAUAUUUUCUCUUGCCUAGGUCAGUCAUUGCUUUUUGAGUGUGUGUUGGUUUUUUGUAAAUAAAUUGUUAUCCUUUUGAACUGUAAUUCUUGGCUGAGUUAAUCAUUUCCCCUUGCUGCUGUGAAGCUAAUGAAAACCCUUUUUUGUGAAAAUUAGGGAGAAUGUGAGCUAAUUAAGUAAGUAAUCCCUAUUUGAAAGUUAGAAAGAUCAAUUGCAUAAACCAGAAAAGGCUACAGUACAUAUGUCUGCUAUACAUGUACCAUACUUUUCUGAAAACAUGUCAGUUUUGAAUUUUUUUUUGCUUCCAAAAGAAUUUAUAUACCCGUGAGAACAUAGAAUUCCCAGAAAGACCAUUGGAAUCAAAUUUUACAACUUUAUGACAGAGGUUCAGGAAAUCUGCUGAUUGGGUAAUGCCUAUAUUUUCCAGAUUUAUUAUUUUUAACAAAAAUUUCUUCAUGUGCUAAGGUUUUAUCAAGUUACACUCUGGAAGACUGAGUUGGAAAAUUCCAUCAUCAUGUGUUUUAUCACUAUAUCUAAUAAGCAUUAGAGUAUAUAAACAUUUAAUUAUAAUAUAUUAAAAGUAAUAGCUAAGUAAUAAUCAAGAGGAUUUCAUUAAAUGUCUCUCUAGCACUGGCCAAUCUGUUUCUGUAGACUUGGUGCUCACAGUUGUUACGAAUGCUAUGACAUUCCAAAAUGACACCAAAGUAUCAGCUUACGUAGAGUAUCCAUCAUCUCAUCUAACAGGCUAAAUGAAACUUGAUUAUUUUUCUUUUAGUGACAAUAAUCCCAAAGCAGGAGAUUUAUAUUAUCAAAACAUGGAAGGGUUUCUCUAGUUCUUUAGAAUAAAAUUUAGGACAUUUCCAAGGGGUUAGAAAUAAUAAUCAAGAUACUAUUCAGAAGAUAGGACUGGGAAUGACUAGCAGAUAGUUCAAAAGCUCCAGCAAGAAGCAAGAGUAGAGAGUUUUUAGUAGAGAGUUGAUAGGUUUAAUUAAGGAGUAUAAUUUUUCUAAGAUCAUCUUUAGAGGUAGAAUCAUAGGCACACAAUUGCACUGAAAUGCUAUGAAAAUGUCUGGUAUCAACAUGCAGAAAUGAAGAAACACAUAAUACAAUACAACUUCUGGUUGAGUAAAUGAUAGAUCGGAAGGGACUGUAAAAUCUAAUCAUGUUUGAUCUCAAUCAGUCUUCAGCCGCUACACCCUUUUUAAUGAUUUUUUUAAGAUCCCAGAAAGAGGUUCUGAGAAGAUAUCUAC